This 223-nucleotide long non-coding RNA is filed under the name Ananas comosus (pineapple). Its description in RNAcentral is "long non-coding RNA (ACOM_LNC012150)". Lineage: Eukaryota; Viridiplantae; Streptophyta; Magnoliopsida; Poales; Bromeliaceae. The record is from RNAcentral.
CCUUGUAUCUCCCCGUAUCACUCACGUAUCCGAGUCGUAUCCGAUAUUUUUUUAUUUUUUAAAAAUACUGGAUACUUCAUUUUCGUAUCGGACAUGUAUCGGGCGCAUAUCGAUAUCCGAUACGUAUCCGAUACGGGUACGGUAUGAAAUUUGAAGUAUCUGUGCUUCAUAGGUGGAGAGGGUCUUCACUGACAUCAAAGCCGAUCUGAAGAGCGAUCGAGGU